This 76-nucleotide transfer RNA is filed under the name Hadarchaeum yellowstonense (SeqCode). Its description in RNAcentral is "tRNA-Thr". It matches the Rfam family "tRNA". Rfam says of the family: Transfer RNA (tRNA) molecules are approximately 80 nucleotides in length. Their secondary structure includes four short double-helical elements and three loops (D, anti-codon, and T loops). RNAcentral also lists the same sequence under 1 other name. The record is from RNAcentral. Lineage: Archaea; Methanobacteriati; Hadarchaeota (SeqCode); Hadarchaeia (SeqCode); Hadarchaeales (SeqCode); Hadarchaeaceae (SeqCode).
GCCGCCGUAGCUCAGCCGGCAGAGCGAUCGCCUUGUAAGCGAUAGGUCGUGGGUUCAAUCCCCACCGGCGGCUCCA